This 490-nucleotide ribosomal RNA is filed under the name uncultured bacterium. Its description in RNAcentral is "partial 16S ribosomal RNA". It matches the Rfam family "Bacterial small subunit ribosomal RNA", at positions 28 to 523 of the family's 1533-position model. The record is from RNAcentral.
GACGAACGCUGGCGGCGUGCCUAAUACAUGCAAGUCGAACGCUUUUUCUUUCACCGGAGCUUGCUCCGGUGGAUUAGUGGCGAACGGGUGAGUAACACGUGAGUAACCUGCCCUUGACUCUGGGAUAACUGCGGGAAACUGUAGCUAAUACCGGAUACGACCCUCGGCGGCAUCGCCAGGGGGUGGAAAGAAUUUCGGUCAAGGAUGGACUCGCGGCCUAUCAGCUAGUUGGUGAGGUAACGGCUCACCAAGGCGACGACGGGUAGCCGGCCUGGGAGGGUGACCGGCGACACUGGGACUGAGACACGGCCCAGGCUCCUACGGGAGGCAGCAGUGGGGAAUAUUGCACAAUGGGCGCAAGCCUGAUGCAGCAACGCCGCGUGAGGGAUGACGGCCUUCGGGUUGUAAACCUCUUUUAGUAGGGAAGAAGCGAAAGUGACGGUACCUGCAGAAAAAGCACCGGCUAACUACGUGCCAGCCGCCGCCGUAA